This 669-nucleotide ribosomal RNA is filed under the name uncultured bacterium. RNAcentral's name for it is "bacterial SSU rRNA". It matches the Rfam family "Bacterial small subunit ribosomal RNA", at positions 8 to 710 of the family's 1533-position model. The record is from RNAcentral.
AGAGUUUGAUCCUGGCUCAGAUUGAACGCUGGCGGCAUGGCUAAAGCAUGCAAGUCGAACGCUCCUUCGGGAGAGUGGCGAAAGGGCGAGUAAUGCGUUUCUAACGUACCCCGCGGAGGGGGAUAGCAUCGGGAAACCGUUGGUAAUACCCCAUAAACCCACCCGUCGCAUGGCGAGGUGGGCAAAGCUCCGGCGCCUCGGGAUCGGGAAACGUCCUAUCAGCUUGUUGGUGAGGUAACGGCUCACCAAGGCGAAGACGGGUAGCGGGUGUGAGAGCAUGACCCGCCGCAUCGGGACUGAGACACUGCCCGGACUCCUACGGGAGGCUGCAGCAACGAAUCUUCCGCAAUGGACGAAAGUCUGACGGAGCAAUGCCGCGUGCGGGAUGAAGCCCCUCGGGGUGUAAACCGCUGUCAGGGUUUAGUACAAAUGAACAGACCCAAAGGAAGGGCCGGCUAACUUCGUGCCAGCAGCCGCGGUAAUACGAAGGGCCCAAGCGUUAAUCGGAAUUACUGGGCUUAAAGCGUGUGCAGGCUGACCAGUAAGUACCUUGUGAAAUCCCACGGCUCAACCGUGGAACUGCUUGGUAUACUGCUGGUCUUGAGAGCGGUAGGGGUCGCUGGAACUGUAGGUGGAGCGGUGAAAUGCGUAGAUAUCUACAGGAACGCC